UAGUACGUGAAACUGAAUAAGUGGAAGCGUAUAGAGUUGUCGAAAGAUGGUAAUAAUAAGUUGCAUAAUAGUGUAACAGUUUAUKGCAAUGUUUCCGUAAUGGUUCAUUGUAUGAAUGUAGUUUAUUAUUAUGUAAUGCACUUGUUGCCAUUGUGCUGAUACAAUUGAUUGAGAUUUUUGAAAUAUCGCUAGAGGGCAUAUCUUCGGAUGUGUAUCCUGGUUUUAUGGAUAAAAUUUUUGGUUAAUUGUGUUAAAAGUAUAAAAGAUGAUAUAAGUAUGAUAGUGUAUAAAGGUUAAUGCUUGCAUUGGCUUUUUUACRUUGUUAUAUCUUAUGUUUUAUGAUAURCUUUUUUAUCAGUAUAAAAGACAAUCACCUAUAUGUCCCGUCUUGAAACACGGACCAAGGAGUUUAUCGUAUGUGCGAGUCAUUGAGUGUUAAAAYUCAUUGGCGUAAUGAAAGUAAAGUAAGCUUUAUGCUUAUGAUAUAUGAUUUUUUUUUCGUUUACGAAAAGAAAAGUAGUAUAGUCCCAUCCAAUAUGCUUGCAUAUGGGUGGAGAUAGAGCAUAUGCGAUGAGACCCGAAAGAUGGUGAACUAUGCCUGAGCAGGAUGAAGUCAGAGGAAACUCUGAUGGAAGUCCGAAGCGGUUCUGACGUGCAAAUCGAUCGUCUGA
This 671-nucleotide ribosomal RNA is filed under the name Panagrolaimus sp. T6_4_7. Its description in RNAcentral is "partial large subunit ribosomal RNA". Lineage: Eukaryota; Metazoa; Nematoda; Chromadorea; Rhabditida; Panagrolaimidae. The record is from RNAcentral.